This 492-nucleotide ribosomal RNA is filed under the name uncultured bacterium. RNAcentral describes it as "partial 16S ribosomal RNA". It matches the Rfam family "Bacterial small subunit ribosomal RNA", at positions 29 to 507 of the family's 1533-position model. The record is from RNAcentral.
AGUGAACGCUGGCGGUAGGCCUAACACAUGCAAGUCGAACGGCAGCACAGUAAGAGCUUGCUCUUACGGGUGGCGAGUGGCGGACGGGUGAGGAAUACAUCGGAAUCUACUUUUUCGUGGGGGAUAACGUAGGGAAACUUACGCUAAUACCUCAUACGACCUACGGGUGAAAGCAGGGGAUCUUCGGACCUUGCGCGAUUGAAUGAGCCGAUGUCGGAUUAGCUAGUUGGCGGGGUAAAGGCCCACCAAGGCGACGAUCCGUAGCUGGUCUGAGAGGAUGAUCAGCCACACUGGAACUGAGACACGGUCCAGACUCCUACGGGAGGCAGCAGUGGGGAAUAUUGGACAAUGGGCGCAAGCCUGAUCCAGCCAUACCGCGUGGGUGAAGAAGGCCUUCGGGUUGUAAAGCCCUUUUGUUGGGAAAGAAGAGCAGCAGGUUAAUACCCCGCUGUUCUGACGGUACCCAAAGAAUAAGCACCGGCUAACUUCGUG